UAGAUUGUUUUUAUGCUUUGA
RNAcentral lists this microRNA (21 nucleotides) under Populus trichocarpa (black cottonwood). RNAcentral's name for it is "ptc-miR7814". Lineage: Eukaryota; Viridiplantae; Streptophyta; Magnoliopsida; Malpighiales; Salicaceae. The record is from miRBase by way of RNAcentral.